This 512-nucleotide ribosomal RNA is filed under the name uncultured bacterium. Its description in RNAcentral is "bacterial SSU rRNA". It matches the Rfam family "Bacterial small subunit ribosomal RNA", at positions 17 to 518 of the family's 1533-position model. The record is from RNAcentral.
UCCUGGCUCAGAACGAACGCUGGCGGCGCGUUUAAGCAUGCAAGUCGAGCGGCAAGGGCCUUCGGGCCCCUAGAGCGGCGGACGGGUGAGUAACACGUGGACAAUCUGCCCCCCGGCCCCGGGAUAGCCCAGGGAAACCUGGAUUAAUACCGGAUGAGACGGGACCCGCGAUGGCGGGAUCCGGGAAAGGCGCUGCGGCGCCGCCGGGGGAUGAGUCUGCGUCCCAUUAGCUGGACGGCGGGGUAACGGCCCACCGUGGCGACGAUGGGUAGCCGGCCUGAGAGGGUGGACGGCCACAUUGGAACUGAGACACGGUCCAGACUCCUACGGGAGGCAGCAGCUAAGAAUCUUCCGCAAUGGGCGAAAGCCUGACGGAGCCGACGCCGCGUGAACGAAGAAGGCCGUGAGGUUGUAAAGUUCUUUUCGGGAGGGGGAACAACCGUGGCAGGGAAUGGCCGCGGGAUGACGUGAAUCCCGGAAUAAGCCCCGGCUAACUACGUGCCAGCCGCCGC